UUUCUCAUCUCCCGCCGCGCGCAACGAUGGCCACCAUUGGCAUGUUCAACGAGGAGGGCGAGAAUGUUGACCUCUACAUCCCGCGCAAGUGCCACGCGACCAACACGCUGAUUGAGGCGCACGACCACGCCGCCGUGCAGAUCUCGAUCGCGAACGUUGGCCCGAACGGCGUGAUCAACGGCACGACGACGACGCUGUGCAUUGCUGGCUACCUGCGCUCGCAGGGCGAGUCGGACCACGCGAUCAACCACAUCACGAUCGACCGCGGCAUCAUGCGCAUCAAGACCGGCAAGCCGAAGCGUGCGUCCAAGUCGAAGUCGAAGAAGCCCGCCGCGAAGGGCGCCGCCGCUGGCGCUGCUGCCCAGAAGGGUGGCCGCCCGUCUGUUCAGAAGGGUGCGCGCCCGGCUUCGCAGAAGGGUGCCCGCCCGCCAACGCAGAAGGGUGCCCGCCCGCCUACGCAGAAGGGUGCCCGCCCGCCUGCGCAGAAGGGUGCCGCUCCGGCUCGCAAGAACCGCGCUUAAGGCAGUUCAAAGGGGGGAGAGCGCCGUAUAAAGAAGGCAAAGGCAAGCGGGAGCGCAUGCGACUUGGUGUGUGCCUGCGUAUGUGUCUGUGUACAGCUUGGUCUAGACCUACCGCAAGGGAAAGGGGGAGGGGCGAGGUGAGGACGCAGAGUCAUGAAAAGAAGAGGUAGUGACGCGGGGUGUCCGCCUGCGCGGCGCCCGUUUUCUCUCUGUGCACCUCCUACGUGACACACCUCACCCCCUGUGCUGGGCCGCGUUGCGCAUGGACCGUGGCCUUUGUGCGAUAUCUUCGUGCAGCGCACCGGUGGCAGCUUCGUCGCCUCCAUGACUGCACGACACUGCUAGACGAGCCGGCAGCCGACGCGGUGCGACGACACACACACACACACACACGCACAUGCUUACCGAACACCUUUGGUGCGUUGCUGAAAUCUGUGUUUUAUAAUUUUUCCUUUCUUCUCUCUUCGUGCUUCUCUCUCUGGCGCUCUCGCAAAGGCUUGCUUGCCCGCUUGCGUUGUCCUCUUCGCCUCUCUUUUGCCCUCCUCCCGCUCGCUCGACGAGGUGACGGUGAGCGGUAGGCCAGGUGGGGGGUGGGAGGCGAGGACGAUGAUGACAGAGGAUGUGGCGAGCAACCCGGGCGUGAGAGUGGGAGAGCGAAUGUGUGUGAGAGAGGUUCAUUUCUUCGAAAAAAAAAAACAC
This 1220-nucleotide unclassified non-coding RNA is filed under the name Leishmania donovani. Its description in RNAcentral is "gene:LdHU3.11.0970(CDS-product:40S_ribosomal_prot ein_S21_putative)". Lineage: Eukaryota; Euglenozoa; Kinetoplastea; Trypanosomatida; Trypanosomatidae. The record is from RNAcentral.